ACGGGUGAGUAACGCGUGGGAAUCUACCCAUCUCUACGGAAUAACGCAUGGAAACGUGUGCUAAUACCGUAUACGUCCUUCGGGAGAAAGAUUUAUCGGAGAUGGAUGAGCCCGCGUUGGAUUAGCUAGUUGGUGGGGUAAAGGCCUACCAAGGCGACGAUCCAUAGCUGGUCUGAGAGGAUGAUCAGCCACACUGGGACUGAGACACGGCCCAGACUCCUACGGGAGGCAGCAGUGGGGAAUAUUGGACAAUGGGCGCAAGCCUGAUCCAGCCAUGCCGCGUGAGUGAUGAAGGCCCUAGGGUUGUAAAGCUCUUUCACCGGUGAAGAUAAUGACGGUAACCGGAGAAGAAGCCCCGGCUAACUUCGUGCCAGCAGCCGCGGUAAUACGAAGGGGGCUAGCGUUGUUCGGAUUUACUGGGCGUAAAGCGCACGUAGGCGGAUUAUUAAGUCAGGGGUGAAAUCCCGGGGCUCAACCCCGGAACUGCCUUUGAUACUGGUAGUCUUGAGUUCGAGAGAGGUGAGUGGAAUUCCGAGUGUAGAGGUGAAAUUCGUAGA
This 557-nucleotide ribosomal RNA is filed under the name uncultured bacterium. RNAcentral's name for it is "bacterial SSU rRNA". It matches the Rfam family "Bacterial small subunit ribosomal RNA", at positions 102 to 694 of the family's 1533-position model. The record is from RNAcentral.